RNAcentral lists this ribosomal RNA (443 nucleotides) under uncultured Leptotrichia sp. Its description in RNAcentral is "bacterial SSU rRNA". It matches the Rfam family "Bacterial small subunit ribosomal RNA", at positions 338 to 795 of the family's 1533-position model. Lineage: Bacteria; Fusobacteriati; Fusobacteriota; Fusobacteriia; Fusobacteriales; Leptotrichiaceae. The record is from RNAcentral.
CCUACGGGCGGCAGCAGUGGGGAAUAUUGGACAAUGGGGGCAACCCUGAUCCAGCAAUUCUGUGUGCACGAGGAAGGUUUUCGGGUUGUAAAGUGCUUUCAGCAGGGAAGAAGGAAGUGACGGUACCUGCAGAAGAAGCGACGGCUAAAUACGUGCCAGCAGCCGCGGUAAUACGUAUGUCGCAAGCGUUAUCCGGAAUUAUUGGGCAUAAAGGGCAUCUAGGCGGCCAGGCAAGUCUGGUGUGAAAACUUGCGGCUCAACCGCAAGCCUGCCCUGGAAACUGCCUGGCUAGAGUGCUGGAGAGGUGGACGGAACUGCACGAGUAGAGGUGAAAUUCGUAGAUAUGUGCAGGAAUGCCGAUGACGAAGAGAGUUCACUGGACGGCAACUGACGCUGAAGUGCGAAAGCUGGGGGAGCGAACAGGAUUAGAUACCCCUGUAGUC